CUUUUUUCUCUCGCGCUCCUUCUUUUCUGCCUUCUUUUGGGCCACUGUCUUAAUUUUGAAGGAGGCGUCAUCAUCUUCAUUCCCACUUUCUAUGUUAGGACCUGGCUUGUUUUUCUGAUUUUUUUUCUGUCCUUUUCUAGAUUGCAAAAAUUCAUCUGAUUCAUCACCACUUUCACCAGAAGAAUUUAUUCUUGAACGCUCUUUAAUUUUUUUACUGUUAUCCUCAUCCUCCUCUGACCCAUCC
RNAcentral lists this long non-coding RNA (244 nucleotides) under Homo sapiens (human). RNAcentral's name for it is "lncAB316.1". Lineage: Eukaryota; Metazoa; Chordata; Mammalia; Primates; Hominidae. The record is from RNAcentral.